RNAcentral lists this ribosomal RNA (1408 nucleotides) under uncultured marine eukaryote. RNAcentral describes it as "bacterial SSU rRNA". It matches the Rfam family "Bacterial small subunit ribosomal RNA". The record is from RNAcentral.
GAGUUUGAUCUUGGCUCAGGAUGAACGCUAGCGGCAUGCCUAACACAUGCAAGUCGUACGAAAUUAUUUUUAGUGGCGGACGGGUGAGUAACGCGUGAGGAUCUACCUUUAGGAAAGGAAUAUAAAACCUUAUAUGCUUUAUGGUAAAAAAAGAAAUUUGCCUAGAGAUGAACUCGCGUCUGAUUAGUUAGUUGGUGGGGUAAUGGCUUACCAAGACGAUGAUCAGUGGCUGGUUUGAGAGGAUGAUCAGCCACAUUGGAACUGAGACCCGGUCCAAACUCCUACGGGAGGCAGCAGUGGGGAAUUUUCUGCGAUGGGCGCAAGCUUGACAGAGCAAUGCCGCGUGAGGGAUGACGGCCUUUGGGUUGUAAACCUCUUUUUUCAAGGAGGAAGUUCUGACUUGUACUUGAAGAAUAAGCAUCGGCUAACUCCGUGCCAGCAGCCGCGGUAAGACGGGGGAUGCAAGUGUUAUCCGGAAUUAUUGGGCGUAAAGCGUCUGUAGGUUGUUUAAUAAGUCUAUUGUUAAAGCUGAAACUUAACUUCAGAGAUGCAGUGGAAACUGUUAAACUAGAGUAUAAUUGAGGUAGAAGGAAUUUCCAGUGGAGUGGUGAAAUGCGUAGAUAUUGGAAAGAACACCAAUUGCGAAGGCAUUCUAUUACAUUAUUCUGACACUCAGAGACGAAAGCUAGGGUAGCAAAUGGGAUUAGAUACCCCAGUAGUCCUAGCCGUAAACGAUGGAUACUAUAUAUUAGACGUAUCGACCCGUUUGGUAUUAAAAGCUAACGCGUUAAGUAUCCCGCCUGGGGAGUAUGCGCGCAAGCGUGAAACUCAAAGGAAUUGACGGGGGCCCGCACAAGCGGUGGAGCAUGUGGUUUAAUUUGAUGCAACGCGAAGAACCUUACCAGGGUUUGACAUGGUACAAAAUUUUUCGAAAGAAAAUGGGUCAUAGACACGUACACACAGGUGGUGCCUGGCUGUCGUCAGCUCGUGUCGUGAGAUGUUGGGUUAAGUCCCGCAACGAGCGCAACCCUUGUUCUCUAGUUUAAUCUAGGAAGACUAUCGGUUAUACACCGGAGGAAGGUGAGGACGACGUCAAGUCAGCAUGCCCCUUAUACCCUGGGCUACACACGUGCUACAUUGGGUAGAACAAUGAGAUGCGACUUUGUGAAAAAGAGCUAAUCUAUAAAUUUACUCUAAGUUCGGAUUGUAGGCUGAAACUCGCCUACAUGAAGUUGGAAUCGCUAGUAAUCGCUGGUCAGCUACACAGCGGUGAAUUCGUUCCCGGGCCUUGUACACACCGCCCGUCACACCACGGAAGCUGGUUAUACCCGAAGUCGUUAUUUUAACCUUUGGAGAAAGACGCCUAAGGUAGAACUAGUGACUGGGGUGAAGUCGUAACAAGGUAACC